CCACUGAGCGAGACCAGGGAUAGAACCUGCACCCUUUUGGAUACUAGUCGGGUUUGUUACCACUGAGCCAUGAUAGGAACUCCUGUUUUUUUGUUUUAAAAUUUUAAAACCUCUGCAGUUGGACAAUGUAAGAGCAGUGAUUAUCUCUUUAACCAGCACAGUGGAGAAUCGACUCUUGCUCAAAGUAAGUGAUAGGGUGGGCAGAGUGAGUUUAAGUCACGUUUCCUUGGUGGCCUCCAUGACCUCAUCCAUGAAAUGGGUAAAACAAUUUCCCAUCUCCCAUUUCCUACCUCCUCCUGUGGUUGCAAAGAUGACAGGUCUCAGAAGGGGUAAUAAGUGGGAAGAUGUACACCCCACAAUGGCAGCAAUUAAUAUUAAUUUGAUUUAUUAGGAGAAACCAUAGAACGUGCCGACCAUUAACCCUGUGCAGUGGGUGCCCUCUGCUCUCAGCCUUGCACGGGAUUUCUGAAUCCUAAUUAUCUUCUGGCAGUGAUGGAGGAAACCAAGGGGUUAAGGAGGAGGCCUAGAGGCUGGCACAGCUGGGGACCAUUAGCUCCUAAGCGGGGGGUGGAGGCCAGGAAGGACCUCUGGGCAGCCGUGAGGAGGGGCGCUGAGAGUGUCUCCGAGGAAACUUAGGCUGAAAUUUUUGUUUUUCUUAAUUCUGAACUCAGUUUUAUACUCCAGAGGGGAGUUGUUCGUGUCUGAACUUGGUUUUUGAGCCCUGGCGCUGGUGGUUUUCGCAGUAAAUGGCUUGCCGCUCCUUGUGGGGCAAUAUUGCUAUUGAUGUUGGGCCAACGUGGUUAGGAAACGGGAUCUUCCAAAUGAGGACUCUGUGGUUUGACGACACUGAGCUGCAGUCUCCCCGGAGCAUGGUUGGGGGUUGAGACAGUUACCCGCAGGGUGGGGCUUGAGGGUAAAGUGGCAUUUCUCCUCUGCCAUUCCCCCCCACACACACCUUGGCAUUAUUAUUAUUAUUAUUAUUGCCCGGUGAGGCCUGUGCUCUGGCCUCAACUCCACCAAGAGAAGGGGCUGUAUUUGGAACAAUUGUGCCCAGAGGAGGCUCCUGAGAAGCAGGAGACCAGGGUGCCAGCGGGUCUCCGGAAAAUGAAAUGUGUCCUCUGACUGCCUGACUGUCUUCGCUGGCACAGGGCCCCGUUAUAAGGUCGUUAGUGCUGCCUGGGUUGGAGGAGCAGAGAGACAAGGCCCAGGCACCCACCAUCUGCUUCAGGAAGCUUUCCAUGACUGCCAGGCAGUCACAGGUGCCCCUGCCCUGUCCUCCCUCAGCCCCUGUCCUCCCCUCCCCGCAGCACUGGUCACACGGUAGUGGAAUUGUCACACCAUAUCAUAAUGAUUCAUGUGGCUGGCUGUGCCCCCACUGCCUUGGUCACGAGCAGCUGCUCCAAUCCCUCUGGAGUGACGGAUGGCAUUUGAAGAGAAGGAGGAAACUUGAAGAUACCACCAAGAAUGAGCUGAAGAGGUUUUCGCCCAGGGAAUCGCCCGCUCAGCAUCUUUGUCCUGAUGGAAAAGCUCUCACAAAAGAGUGGCAGCCCUGUCAGAAAGACGAAGUCCAGAGUCAUUCUCAAGAGAAAGGAGCGACAGGAAUGGGCUGGUGGCUGGAAGCCAGGUGCCUAAUGCUUUAGCGCACAGAAGGAGGGACAGCUGGGACUAGCAUGAAAAACGGUCUGCGCGCCACCAAAGCACUGUUCACACUGGCCAAGAGGGCAGAAGCCCCCGACGUGUCCAUCACAGAUGAAAGAAUAGACAAAAGGUGGCGUAUACAGACAAUACAAAUUUAACCUUAAAAAGGAAGGAAAUCUCAUCACAUACACAACAGGAAUGAGCCUGGAGGACCUUAUGCUAAGUGAAAUCAGCCCAUCACAAAAAGACAAAACACGGAUGCUCUGUCUUCCAGAGGAUCAGAUCCAGAUGUGACCCAGCUACCAAUCUCUGGACAGGUUCUGGAACGUGCAUGGAAUUUGGAGUGUCCUGGAUACCCAGAGCAUGGGGGUGGUAGCCAGUUCUCCUUGGCUCUUGGAAUCCAAGCCUUUUAAAGGGCUGGCUGGAAAGCUGCAGACGGGUGGUGAUGUCCACUCCCUCCCUCGGUGCCUGGUGCUGACUCUACUUAGCCUCUGUCUUAGUCUGUUUAAGCUGCUGUAACAAAAGUAUCACAGACUAGGUGACUUAUAGACAACAGAAAUUUGUUUCACAUAGUUUUGGAGGCCAGGAAGUCCAAGAUCAAGGUGCUGGCAGAUUCACUGUCUGUAAGAUCCUGGAGGAUGUGAACUAUGUUUUCUUCAUCCCCUGCCUGUCUCACUCCAUCAGCAAGUGGUGCUGUUGCCUGCUGUGCCCAAGUUAAUGAAUAACUCCAUCAAGGAGUGAAGGAAUGAAUCCUCCAUCAAGGAAUGAAUGCUAUUGCAGCAACAUGGACACAACUAGAGAUUCUCAUGAAGGAAUGAAUCCUCCAUUUAACCAGGAAUGCGUCCUCCGCUUUUCAGAGAUUCCUCUUCUUUCCUAACCCAGUUGCCUUGGGAACUAGGGGAACUGACUUCCCCUCCUUUCCAAGUGAGAGAGGUCUGGAGUCAGUCUCAUGAGUAACCGGAGGCUCCCCCGGACACCUGCUCUUUCACAUAACAAGCUCUCCCAGAAAAACCAGUCCAGACAGCAACUCCUAGCUAAACACAUCUCUCUAGAAAGCCCCAUGAGGAGGGUGCUAGUUUCCUAUGUAAUCUCCUCCUUCUCUUUUAGCAGCAGAGACACAGUGUUUUUCCAGGUGGCGUGUAUCUGGUAAAAAUCUAUGAUGCCCUGCCUCUCUUGGAGAAGAUGAAGGCAGAAAUUGUUGGAUAGAAUUUCUGGAUAAGAUUUUUUGCCUUUUCAUCCUACCUGCCUUCUGCUGUUUGGAAUGGCUGGAGCUGCAAUAGCCAGAUUAAGGCCAGACAUACACACAAAAAGACUAAAAGAAUCACAGAGAUUCAGCCCUGAUUUUCUUAAAAAAAAAAUUUUUUAUUAUUAUAGUUGAUGUACAAUGUGCUGUCCACUUCUGCUCACAAUGACCCAACCAUAUACAUAUA
Sus scrofa (pig) is the source of this 3068-nucleotide long non-coding RNA. RefSeq lists it as uncharacterized. The record is from RefSeq and is a predicted model, not a curated record. Lineage: Eukaryota; Metazoa; Chordata; Mammalia; Artiodactyla; Suidae.